ACUCAAAUGAAUUGACGGGGACCCGCACAACCAGUGGAGCGUGUGGUUCAAUUUGAGACGAAGCAAAAAACCUCACCAGGGAUUGACAUAUUUAUGUAAGCUUUAUGAAAGUAGAGCCCUCCCGCAAGGGACAUUUUUACAGGUGUUGCAUGGCUGUCGUCAGCUCGUGCCGUGAGGUGUUCCAUUAAGUUGGGAAACGAGUGCAACCCCCAUCCAAUGUUAAAUAUUCAUUGGAGACCGCCCCUCAUCUUUGUUUGCAAACAAAAGUUUGUUGAUAGGGAUGAGGGGAGGAAGGAGGGGCGGACGUCAAGUCAGCACGACCCUUAUACCCUGGGCUACACACACCCUACAAUGCCGAAUAACAACGGGUUGCAAGUCCGCGAGGACAAGCUAAUCCCUAAAAUUUCGGCUCAGUUCAGAUUGGAGUCUGAAACCCGACUCCAUGAAGGCGGAAUUGGUAGUAAUCGUGGAUCAGCAGGCCACGGUGAAUACGUUCUCGGGUCUUGCACACACCGCCCGU
RNAcentral lists this ribosomal RNA (520 nucleotides) under uncultured bacterium. RNAcentral describes it as "partial 16S ribosomal RNA". It matches the Rfam family "Bacterial small subunit ribosomal RNA", at positions 899 to 1397 of the family's 1533-position model. The record is from RNAcentral.